CUCUAUACGGAGUUACAAAGGACGACAUUAGAUGAAUCAUCUGGAAAGAUGAAUCAAAGAAGGUAAUAAUCCUGUAGUCGAAAAUGUUGUCUCUCUUGAGUGGAUCCUGAGUACGACGGAGCACGUGAAAUUCCGUCGGAAUCUGGGAGGACCAUCUCCUAAGGCUAAAUACUCUCUAGUGACCGAUAGUGAACCAGUACCGUGAGGGAAAGGUGAAAAGCACCCCGGAAGGGGAGUGAAAUAGAACCUGAAACCGUGUGCUUACAAGUAGUCAGAGCCCGUUAAUGGGUGAUGGCGUGCCUUUUGUAGAAUGAACCGGCGAGUUACGAUUUGAUGCAAGGUUAAGCAGUAAAUGUGGAGCCGUAGCGAAAGCGAGUCUGAAUAGGGCGUUUAGUAUUUGGUCGUAGACCCGAAACCAGGUGAUCUACCCUUGGUCAGGUUGAAGUUCAGGUAACACUGAAUGGAGGACCGAACCGACUUACGUUGAAAAGUGAGCGGAUGAACUGAGGGUAGCGGAGAAAUUCCAAUCGAACCUGGAGAUAGCUGGUUCUCUCCGAAAUAGCUUUAGGGCUAGCCUCAAGUGAUGAUUAUUGGAGGUAGAGCACUGUUUGGACGAGGGGCCCCUCUCGGGUUACCGAAUUCAGACAAACUCCGAAUGCCAAUUAAUUUAACUUGGGAGUCAGAACAUGGGUGAUAAGGUCCGUGUUCGAAAGGGAAACAGCCCAGACCACCAGCUAAGGUCCCAAAAUAUAUGUUAAGUGGAAAAGGAUGUGGCGUUGCCCAGACAACUAGGAUGUUGGCUUAGAAGCAGCCAUCAUUUAAAGAGUGCGUAAUAGCUCACUAGUCGAGUGACACUGCGCCGAAAAUGUACCGGGGCUAAACAUAUUACCGAAGCUGUGGAUUGUCCUUUGGACAAUGGUAGGAGAGCGUUCUAAGGGCGUUGAAGCAUGAUCGUAAGGACAUGUGGAGCGCUUAGAAGUGAGAAUGCCGGUGUGAGUAGCGAAAGACGGGUGAGAAUCCCGUCCACCGAUUGACUAAGGUUUCCAGAGGAAGGCUCGUCCGCUCUGGGUUAGUCGGGUCCUAAGCUGAGGCCGACAGGCGUAGGCGAUGGAUAACAGGUUGAUAUUCCUGUACCACCUAUA
Molecule: ribosomal RNA, 1142 nt
Filed under: Staphylococcus aureus
Lineage: Bacteria; Bacillati; Bacillota; Bacilli; Caryophanales; Staphylococcaceae
Description: partial 23S ribosomal RNA
Rfam family: Bacterial large subunit ribosomal RNA
Source: RNAcentral